This 465-nucleotide ribosomal RNA is filed under the name uncultured Klebsiella sp. RNAcentral describes it as "bacterial SSU rRNA". It matches the Rfam family "Bacterial small subunit ribosomal RNA", at positions 338 to 795 of the family's 1533-position model. The record is from RNAcentral. Lineage: Bacteria; Pseudomonadati; Pseudomonadota; Gammaproteobacteria; Enterobacterales; Enterobacteriaceae.
ACUACGGGUGGCAGCAGUGGGGAAUAUUGCACAAUGGGCGCAAGCCUGAUGCAGCCAUGCCGCGUGUGUGAAGAAGGCCUUCGGGUUGUAAAGCACUUUCAGCGGGGAGGAAGGCGGUGAGGUUAAUAACCUCAUCGAUUGACGUUACCCGCAGAAGAAGCACCGGCUAACUCCGUGCCAGCGGCCGCGGUAAUACGGAGGGUGCAAGCGUUAAUCGGAAUUACUGGGCGUAAAGCGCACGCAGGCGGUCUGUCAAGUCGGAUGUGAAAUCCCCGGGCUCAACCUGGGAACUGCAUUCGAAACUGGCAGGCUAGAGUCUUGUAGAGGGGGGUAGAAUUCCAGGUGUAGCGGUGAAAUGCGUAGAGAUCUGGAGGAAUACCGGUGGCGAAGGCGGCCCCCUGGACAAAGACUGACGCUCAGGUGCGAAAGCGUGGGGAGCAAACAGGAUUAGAUACCCGGGUAGUC